This 36-nucleotide non-coding RNA is filed under the name Trypanosoma brucei brucei. The record is from RNAcentral. Lineage: Eukaryota; Euglenozoa; Kinetoplastea; Trypanosomatida; Trypanosomatidae.
GAUCACUGCUAAACUAGGGUGUGAUUUAGAGCUAAU